UACGAAGGGGGCUAGCGUUGCUCGGAAUCACUGGGCGUAAAGCGCACGUAGGCGGCUUGUUAAGUCAGGGGUGAAAUCCUGGAGCUCAACUCCAGAACUGCCUUUGAUACUGGCGAGCUUGAGUUCGGGAGAGGUGAGUGGAACUGCGAGUGCAGAGGUGAAAUUCGUAGAUAUUCGCAAGAACACCAGUGGCGAAGGCGGCUCACUGGCCCGAUACUGACGCUGAGGUGCGAAAGCGUGGGGAGCAAACAGG
RNAcentral lists this ribosomal RNA (253 nucleotides) under uncultured bacterium. RNAcentral's name for it is "partial 16S ribosomal RNA". It matches the Rfam family "Bacterial small subunit ribosomal RNA", at positions 524 to 776 of the family's 1533-position model. The record is from RNAcentral.